UACGUAGGUGGCAAGCGUUGUCCGGAAUUAUUGGGCGUAAAGCGCGCGCAGGCGGUUCUUUAAGUCUGAUGUGAAAGCCCACGGCUCAACCGUGGAGGGUCAUUGGAAACUGGAGAACUUGAGUACAGAAGAGGAAAGCGGAAUUCCACGUGUAGCGGUGAAAUGCGUAGAGAUGUGGAGGAACACCAGUGGCGAAGGCGGCUUACUGGUCCGGUUCUGACGCUGAGGCGCGAAAGCGUGGGGAGCAAACAGG
RNAcentral lists this ribosomal RNA (253 nucleotides) under uncultured bacterium. RNAcentral describes it as "partial 16S ribosomal RNA". It matches the Rfam family "Bacterial small subunit ribosomal RNA", at positions 524 to 776 of the family's 1533-position model. The record is from RNAcentral.